GGAUGACUCGCCGUAUGGAACCACUGGCAAAGAAGAUCUUUAAAGGAAUUUUAGUAGCUGAACUUGUGGGCCUUUUUGGAGCAUAUUUUUUGUUUACUAAGAUGAACACAAGCCAAGAUUUCAGGCAAACAAUGAGCAAGAAAUUUCCCUUCAUCUUGGAAGUUUAUUACAGAUCCAUCGAACAGUCUGGAAUGUAUGGAAUCAGAGUGCGAGAUCAAGAAAAAUGGUUGAACAGCAAAAAUUAGA
Long non-coding RNA from Propithecus coquereli (Coquerel's sifaka), 246 nucleotides. RefSeq lists it as uncharacterized. Lineage: Eukaryota; Metazoa; Chordata; Mammalia; Primates; Indriidae. The transcript has 3 exons. The record is from RefSeq and is a predicted model, not a curated record.